This is a long non-coding RNA of Uranotaenia lowii, 537 nucleotides long. RefSeq lists it as uncharacterized. The transcript has 3 exons. The record is from RefSeq and is a predicted model, not a curated record. NCBI's taxonomy places the organism in Eukaryota, Metazoa, Arthropoda, Insecta, Diptera, Culicidae.
CUUAUCGAAAAUCUUGUCGAAGUAACGUUGCAAUUUUUCUGCGGUCUGGAUCUUGAUCAUCCCAGAAGUUGUUAUAGGAUGAUACUUAUUUCGCAAUCUACUCUGUAGCGCAAAGAUGGCAGUUCCCUCAGUGACCUUUGCGGAUUUGAUCUUUCGGUCAUCCCAAUUCGACAAGGAAAAGGUCCAGGUGUAAUGCAACAGAUGAGAAAAUGACGAACAAAAUAACUCGGAACGUUACAGAAAUCGGACCGGUAAUUAUGUAUAAACAAUUCAAUUAUUUAUGAAUCUAGUUAAUAAAUGAUUUAUAAAAUUGCCAAUUCACUUUAUUUUGAUUCAGAACUCCUUGCAUGCAAUAUUUCUCGAAAAGCCGCAAGCGUUUGAAAUAAGGGGUAAUUGUCCGCUAUGCUUUUAAAAUAAGGGGUAAUUUUCAUCCGAUACAAGCGUUAUCAAGCUGAGUACCCCUUAAAGGGUAAAGGGGCUUUAUCCGAAAAAAGGAGUUCUCCCAGUCUUAUUGAAUAACGGGUCAAAAGUAUUCGU